Molecule: RNase P RNA, 335 nt
Filed under: chicken gut metagenome
Description: Bacterial RNase P class B
Rfam family: Bacterial RNase P class B
About the family: Ribonuclease P (RNase P) is a ubiquitous endoribonuclease, found in archaea, bacteria and eukarya as well as chloroplasts and mitochondria.
Source: RNAcentral
UUUAGACAAGUGCUGGGAUUAAUUCCUAGAGGAAAGUCCAUACUCACACAGUCUGAGAUGAUUGUAGUGUUCGUGCUUCGAGGAAAAAAUAACUUGAAGGUAGUGUUAUUACACUAACGGCGAAGAUUUUACCUAAGGAAUUCUAUGGUAAAACUUUAUAAAGUGCCACAGAGACGAGUGCUUGGGAAACUAAGUAGUGAAACGCGGUAAACCCCACGAGUGAGAAACCCAAAUUAUGGUAGGGGAGCUUUAAGAAGGGAAAUGAAUUUUCUUAAAGGCUAGAAAUAGCAGAUAAAUACUUGUCACCUAGAAAUAGGUACAGAAUAUGGCUUAUU